This 29-nucleotide non-coding RNA is filed under the name Bombyx mori (domestic silkworm). The record is from RNAcentral. Lineage: Eukaryota; Metazoa; Arthropoda; Insecta; Lepidoptera; Bombycidae.
UGGCAGCCUAGGGCUACGGAAACCAGCAC